This 6801-nucleotide long non-coding RNA is filed under the name Citrus maxima (pomelo). RNAcentral describes it as "long non-coding RNA (CMAX_LNC001144)". The record is from RNAcentral. Lineage: Eukaryota; Viridiplantae; Streptophyta; Magnoliopsida; Sapindales; Rutaceae.
GCCUUCCACAGUACCCAUCAUAAUGCCUCGUUUGCCCAUAGCCAAGAUCGUAACAUGGUCCCCCACCGCGCCCCUCAUAACAUUCCCUGCAGCACACCCCGACCGGCGGGUGACACGGAACUGGAGCCGGUGCUGGUGCAGGUGCCGGUGCCGGUGCCGGUGCCGGUGGUGGUGGUGAUGGUUUUGGUGGCUCUUUAGGCUUUUCUGGCUCUUUGGGUUUCGCAGGCUCUUUAGGUUUCUCGGGCUCUUUAGGUUUCUCGGGCUCUUUGGGUUUCUCCGGCUCUUUGGGUUUCUCAGGUUGUUUUGGCUUCUCGGGUUCUUUGGGUUUUUCAGGUUGUUUUGGCUUCUCGGGUUCUUUGGGUUUCUCAGGUGCUUUUGGCUUCUCGGGUUCUUUGGGUUUUGGUGGUGGUGGUUUAGGCUUUUCAGGUUCCAGGAUUGCAAUACUCUUGAUUGAACCUUCACCUUUGCAGCAUAGUUUGUCCCUAAUCUUUUCAGGACUGCAGCACACUACUUUUAUUCUCACCGUAUUCGUCUUCUCAUCGAAUAUCUGGUCUUGUAUUUCUCUUGUUCAUAAAGUUUUCAACAUAUAUAUAUAUAUCUUAGCUCACUGAUCCAUAAUAAACCACUUUUAUUGACAAAUACAAAAAACACAAUCCCACGACUAAUUAAUUAUUAAAGUGAUCGGAGAUAGAGACACUUACGAGGGAAUUUGCAAAGUACUUUCUUGACUUUCUUGUAGCACUUUGAGCACUGAAGGUCAACCUUCAGCACCAUCGUCGUAACCUUCUGUAAACAUUACAGAGAUAGUUGAUUAAUGAAUGAUUUGUAGCCAUCACUGAUAUUUAGUAAUUACAGGCCAGGGAGUGGGAAAUAUUUUAAUGGUUAAUUUCUGAAAUUAAAGAAUUAAUCAACAACAGAAGCAACUCUCUCUUUCUCUCUCUCUCUCUCUCUCUCUCAAUCAUCAUGAGAUGCACAUAAAAAAUUUAACCAAAAGGGCAAUUUACAAACCUUCUCCCCCAUAUACAGCUGCGAUGCGAGUGCUGCUGCGAUCCGAGGCUCAGAAAAUGAGAUACUGAUUAUAUUAUUUGGAGAAUGUGGGAGCUAUGUAUGAAAAGGGUGUUUAUAAAUGAAGCCAAUUUGAAGCUUAUAUAUAUAUAUAUAUAUAUAUAUAUAUAUAUGAUAUGUAUCAAGGAGGAAAACGUAAGAGUUUGAAUUCCCGUACGCUUACAACCAAUCAUCUGGCGACAAGUCGUAUCGGACGUUGAAUUGCAUGUUAUCAUCAAGAUUGUCGUUAUGUAGAAAGUGUUGCUUCUCAUUUAUGAUUGCUGACUCUCCAAUCUUCCAUUGCAUUUGCACGUGCUGGCUGGCGUUUAGCCCAUCACCACCCCUCCCUCCCCUUUCUUUUUAAUCACUCAAGAGUCACAGAGAUCAUUAGUUUUAAUAAUGCUUCACUUGAAUCCUCCCUUACAAACUCCUAAUCACAUUCUAUUUCAUUCAAUUUAUUUUAUAACUUUUUUUAUUUUAUAAAAGUUAACAACAUCACAAGAGCAGUUUUAGAGUCCUACAAAUUGUUAUUGUUGUCUUUCAAUAAUGCAUAACACAUUUCAAGGUGAGUGUUAACAUGGUUAAUUAGCAGAUAUUUUAUGCCCUAAAUCUUUAUUGAGCUACUUUCUAAAAGCAAAAGUGAUAAGCACCCUCUCCAUGCAAGUGCAGCACAUCGUUCCUUGAUCUACAAUCAUGGGCCACGCACCCCUCACAUGGCGACCGUACGCGUGUCCCAAGGCGUAGUGCGCCACGGAUCAAGUAUUCAUUCAUCCACAACAACUUUCGCGUCUCAAUGUCAAAAAAGAGAACUACACGGUGUGGUACGUGUCGGUUUGAGAUGCCUGACAAUCACAAUAACAUUAGUCGUUUGAUGAAAUGAUUUCAUCGAGCUACCGUUGAUUGCAAUUUCCAUAAACAAAGGGCCCCACGAUCAGCGUAAGCUUUUGAAAGUUUAAGCAAUCCCCGUAAGUAUAGCUCCAAAGCUAAGCAAGCAACUUAUAUAGGGUUGUGGGGGCUAGCUAGCAGCUAACAUAUAUUUAAUGCCUAGAUUGGCCACAAGGUCUAAAUUGAAUUAAAAAGAUAAUGUUAUUAAUUUGCGCUAACAACUGAUUCUAAAUUUUAAUUUGUGUAAUAAUGGCAAGUGGCAGCAAGAGACAUACAAUGGAUUUAGGUAAGAGUUUGGAGUUUGGAGUUUGGAAGUGUCGGCAAUUGGUGGUUGCGACUUGCGAGAGAUUAAAUUUAAAUUUCCAAAAAGCAAGUUUGCUUAAUGGUUAGGUUACGUAGAUUUUGGGGAUUUUCUUUUUGUUUUUGUCCUUUUCCGGACAAAAUAUGGAAUCUAACACACAGACACAUAAACCUGUCAUUUCAAUCUUCUUUAAACGAAUUCGUUUUUUCAAAAGUGUGUGAAAUUUGUAUAUGAUAACAACAAUAGAUUAAAUUAAAAUUGAUAAAAAUAAUUUGUUAUCAGUUGAAAACUAUUUUAUGCUCAAUAGAUCACUUUAUUUAAUCUGACUAUGCCAAUAAUUAAGAAAAAAAAAUUAGAGUAAAUUUACCCUAUAUUUCAAAAAGUGAUUAUAUGUUUUCUUUUUCCCCAAUUGGUGUAGGCUGUAAUGCGUACAGAUUUGUUUUUAUAGUGUAAAAGUUUUUUUUUCCUACUAGAAAAAAAUAAUAUAAAUUCAAAUAAGACAAAAUUUACAAGACAUCAGCAAACAAUUAGACCCACUUGUUCAUUAAGAAUUUGUUAAUAAUAAAUUAAUAAUUGUAAAGCUACAAGUUAUUAUCAAACUAAAUGUUUGUGGGAUCAUAUGACUUAAAUGACAUUUGUCUCCAAAGUUUAAAAAUCAUGAGAGAAUGUGUACUAGCUUUAGAGAGACUUGAAACCAUUGUGUGGAUGGGUUCAUUCCCUCCUCAUUUGCUGUAUUUAUUUUCUUCUAUGAAAUGAAGGCAUUUUCUUUUCAAAAAAAAAAAAAAAAAUCGUGAGAGAAUGUCCAGGGGUAAAUGAAGAUUUUAUACGUAAAACUCAUAAUAUUAUCAUACUUUAUUUAGAAAUUCAGUAAUUCUACAGAAGUCUACAGGUUCCAUAGCACCUAUAGACUUACUUUAAUAUAAUAAAGGAUUUCUUACUUUAAUAUAAUAAGGGACAAGUUAAAAUAUAGAAAAACACAAAUUUUAAUAUAUUAUGAGAUAUAAUAUAAAUAGCAUUUACUUCUCGGAUUGGAUUAGGAAUCUUAGGAUUAUGAAUGUGGAGCAAGCGUGAGAGUAAAUUGUUUACUUAAUAAGAGUGUGGAAUAGGAAUCAGAAUCUCAUUUAUGUGUUUAUAUUGUCUUGAAUUGAAAGUAAAUUACUUCAAAUUACAGUUUUAUCCUUAUUUAAAGAAUUGUAGUUUUUAAUUACAAAGUGAAUAAAAAAUAUAUUUAAAAAUAAACUAUUUAUUUUAUUAUUAAGUUUAAUUAUAUAAAUAAAUAAAUAUUAUUAACAUUCUUAAUUAUAUAAAUCAUAAUUUUUUUAUUAAUUUUAAUUUUAGUUAUGUAAAUUAAAAAUUAUUGAUAAGAGCAACACAAAUGAAACAUUAUUAUUAAUAAUAUAAUAUAAUAUUAAUAUUUUGUUGGAAUAAACUAUCUAUUGCUAUUGCUAUUAACUAUUAAUACUAAAUAAAUAUAAUACUAUUAAAAUUAAAUAGAUAUAAUAAUAUUAUAUUUUCAAAUAAAGAUAGUAUGUAGUGAUAUUAUCAAUUCUCUACAAAUAUGAUAAUAUUAUCCUUAAAUAAUUUUAACUUAGAUUACAUAAAUUAUUAUUUUUAAUAUAUGUAAUAUUAUUAAAUAAUAUAAUAAUGUUAAUUCAAUAUAUAUAUAUAUAUAUAUAUAUAUAUAUAUAUAUAUAUAUAUUUUAAAUGUAACAUUAAAUUAUUUUAAUAAAGAUAAAUCAUAUCAUAUUUAAUGAAUGAAGGGUAAAAAAAGGAAGACCCCAUGGGUGAGACUCUCACUUCACACUUUCAAAUCCCAUUCUAGUAAGUAAAUAGGGAGAUUGUCAAUUUCCCCCCUACAGUAAUCAACAUAUACCAUUUUCCCCCCUGCUGUUUUUAUAAUGGCCAAAAACCCACAUGACAGCAUAAGUUUACAAUAUUACCCUUAUUUGUAACUACUCUUUUAUUUAUAUUUAUUAUAAAUUAAAUAAAUCAUAUGAAUAGAAAUUAAAUAAAAAAUUAAGUAUUAAAAACAAGAAAUAUAUGUUUUGAUAUGAGCAAAAAAAUUAAUAAUAAUAAUUUUUCUUAUACUUUAUUUAUUUUGUGAAAAUUUUCUUAUAAUAAAUAUAUAAGAAAAUUAUUAUAAAAUGAUAAAAAAAUUAUUAUAAGAAAACUUGAAUGACAAAUAAAAAUUUAUUAUAAGAUAAAUAAUAAAAUAUUUUGCCUAUAUUUUUUACAUUUAAUUUUAAAAUAUUACAAAAUUUUAUUAUAAGAAAAUGUUCACAAAAUAAAUAAUUACAAAAAAAAAUUAUUAUUAAUUUUUUUUCUCAUAUUAAAACAUAUAUUUCUUAUUUUUAAUACUUAUUUUUUUAUUUUAUUUCUAUUCAUGUAAUUUAUUUAAUUUAUAAUAAAUAUAAAUAAAAGAGUUGUUGAAAAUAAGGGUAAUAUUGUAAACUUAUGCUGUCAAUGAGAUUUUUGACCAUUAUAAAAACAAUAUGAGGGAAAAUGGUAUAUGUUGAUUACUAUAAGGUAGAAAUUGGCAAUCCCCCUAAGUAAAUACUACAAUAAUGCAUUGGAGUAUAUAUUUUUGUUUUCUUUUGCUUAUUCCCAUAUUGGAAAAAUACGUAUAAAAGAUCAUAAUAUUAAUCUCAUAAUUAGGACGGGAGCCCUUUGAGAAUUUUAAAGGAACUGCUGCUAUUUACGAGGUGGGCUAGAGAGCCCGACGGCGUGUUCAAAGAAUAUCAUUAUUUAGGCCGAGCCCAAAUUUUGUUUCUGGGCCUCACAUGCUAUGAGCUGAUAGUAAUUAAUGGUCUGAGCUUCAGAGUCAGCAAGUUAAAUUAAAUGCCCUCACUCACCAACCCGAGCCGCAAACGCAAACAUUGCAGAGCUGCAGGCUGCAGCGUCGCUCUUGACCAGUGUUGAAGGAAAACCGGUACACAAAGGUAGACUGGUCUACGAUCGCAUCAUUGGUAUUCCACCGUCAAACAGUUCUAAUAUAACCGGACCCAUUAAUUAAUUAUAGUGUACUGUCCUCAUUUCGAGUGCAAUUUCAAAUCAGUUUUCAAUAAUUAAUUAAUACCGACAUGGGCAGCAAUCAUAUUCUUACAGAAUCGAUCUUAUGCUUUUGCUGAACUUCCACGGAUUUUAUUUGCUUUCGGCUUUCAGGAAUCAGGGUUCUGGUUGUCAUCAUCAUCAUUACAUAUCAGAAUCAACUUUUGAUCCUGGGAAAAGUCAUGCAGCUUCUGUUUCCUUUUCGUCCUUUUUUCAUGUUCCAUUCCAUUGCGUAGAUAUGAAUUAUGGCAAAUGUUAUGUUACAUGAAAUGUAACAUAUACAUUUUAUAAUAAUCACAUAAAUUGUGUGGACUUAUUAUUUAUGUAGUUAUCGUGGAAUGUGUAUGUUAUAUUUAAUGUAACAUAAGGACUCACUUAAAUUAAAUAUAUAAUUAAAUCAACGGUCCAAAUUCAAAAUUACCAUUCCCCAAGAAAGAAUGCAUGAUUUUAUAUAUACAUAUACAUAUAUACACACCUAUUACAUUUUCUAUCUGGUUUUAACAAAAGAUGCUCAUUACCAUAUUAAUUAAUUUUCAUGCAUGCAUGAUUAAUUUGUAAAAUUCUUUCAUAUUGAUUUGAGCCUUCACUUUGGGUGAAGGGUAGGGUUGAGGCUCAAGUUGUUUACAUAAGGACAACAAAUGAAUAACCUUUUCUUCUUUAUCUUUCCCACCCUUUUUCUUUCACAUGUGUCACUCCAAUAUAAUGAAGUGAUGAUAAAGUGUAUGAUCACCACGCAUGUCACUCAGUGAAUGGUUAAAAAUGGAAAAUGGGAUCCCAUCUGAUGCAAUGCGAUACGAUGCCUGCUCCAGUACUUUUUCAAGAUACUUGAUAGCCAUCCCAGGCUGACUCUGUGACCAUAAAGUGUACAUCUUGAUUGUGUUAUCGAGCAAGCAUAGUAUCAUUCCGGCUUGGAAUCCAAAAUCGGCGGGCUCCAUUCCAAAGAAUUAUUCACAAAGUGACAGCCACGUUUCCAUCCAUCCAUCCACAAACGCUUGUCUUUUUUGUUCUUUCAUAAUUAAGCCACAGCCAUUACUCAUUAGAUUUCAGCCCUUUUUUUUGUAUGAUAAUCUUAUUUACGAAGAUUUGUCAAAAGAUAAUUAUCAUUUGUCACUGACAACCCAUCCACAGCAAUGUAACUAAUGUCAAUAUCAAUAAAGAGGGAAGCCAAAAAGACAUAAAUAUAAAAAUAAAAGUAUCUUGCAUCAAGACGAAAGAAUAAUGUGAAAGAAGAAGCUUUGUUCUUUGCUAGCCAUGCAAAAGAAAACCUUAUCAAGAUCUUUCCGGAACUUUUAUUAUUAAUUAUAUUAUAAAAGCAAUAAGUGAUUUUCGAGUGGUAUGAAUGAAUCAUGAUAUAUAUGAAGACUGAAGUCAUAUUAUGGGAUCAGGCUACGGUGCAACUGUGGCACCGUGCCACAGUUGCAUCUAACCGUUGGAUGCAAUUAGAUUGAUGGGAUCCACUGACAUCCAACGGUUAGAUGCAACUGUGGCACGGUGCCACAGUUGCACCUAAGGUUCCCCCAUAU